CACGUAGGGGGCAAGCGUUGUCCGGAUUUAUUGGGCGUAAAGAGCUCGUAGGCGGCUCGGUAAGUUUGGUGUGAAAUCUCCCGGCUCAACCGGGAGGGUGCGCCGAAAACUGGGAGGCUAGAGUGCGGGAUGGGAGAGUGGAAUUCCUGGUGUAGCGGUGAAAUGCGUAGAUAUCAGGAGGAACACCGGUGGUGCAGACGGCUCUCUGGACCGUAACUGACGCUGAGACACGAAAGCGUGGGUAGCAAACAGG
RNAcentral lists this ribosomal RNA (253 nucleotides) under uncultured bacterium. RNAcentral's name for it is "partial 16S ribosomal RNA". It matches the Rfam family "Bacterial small subunit ribosomal RNA", at positions 524 to 776 of the family's 1533-position model. The record is from RNAcentral.